CCUACGGGCGGCACCAGUGGGGAAUAUUGGACAAUGGGCGAAAGCCUGAUCCAGCAAUGCCGCGUGUGUGAAGAAGGUCUUCGGAUUGUAAAGCACUUUCGACGGGGACGAUGAUGACGGUACCCGUAGAAGAAGCCCCGGCUAACUUCGUGCCAGCAGCCGCGGUAAUACGAAGGGGGCUAGCGUUGCUCGGAAUGACUGGGCGUAAAGGGUGCGUAGGCGGUUUAUGCAGUCAGAUGUGAAAUCCCCGGGCUUAACCUGGGAACUGCAUUUGAGACGCAUAGACUAGAGGUCGAGAGAGGGUUGUGGAAUUCCCAGUGUAGAGGUGGAAUUCGUAGAUAUUGGGAAGAACGCCGGUGGCGAAGGCGGCUACCUGGCUCGAUACUGACGCUGAGGCGCGAAAGCGUGGGGAGCAAACAGGAUUAGAUACCCGCGUAGUC
This 440-nucleotide ribosomal RNA is filed under the name uncultured bacterium. Its description in RNAcentral is "bacterial SSU rRNA". It matches the Rfam family "Bacterial small subunit ribosomal RNA", at positions 338 to 795 of the family's 1533-position model. The record is from RNAcentral.